RNAcentral lists this ribosomal RNA (369 nucleotides) under Candidatus Mycoplasma haematoparvum. RNAcentral describes it as "bacterial SSU rRNA". It matches the Rfam family "Bacterial small subunit ribosomal RNA", at positions 202 to 552 of the family's 1533-position model. The record is from RNAcentral. Lineage: Bacteria; Bacillati; Mycoplasmatota; Mollicutes; Mycoplasmatales; Mycoplasmataceae.
UAAAGGGGGCGUUCCUUCCGGAGCCCCGCGCGCAAAUAGGAAUAUGUCCUAUUAGGUUGUUGGUGGGGUAAAGGCCUACCAAGCCGUUGAUGGGUAGCUGGACUGAGAGGUCGACCAGCCGCAAUGGGAUUGAAAUAUGGCCCAUAUUCCUACGGGAAGCAGCAGUGAGGAAUUUUUCACAAUGGACGAAAGUCUGAUGGAGCAAUACCACGUGAACGAUGAAGGUCUUCUGAUUGUAAAGUUCUUUUAUUUAGGAAAAAAAGCUGGGCAGGAAAUGGCCCAGCCUUGAUCGUACUAAAUGAAUAAGUGACAGCUAACUAUGUGCCAGCAGCUGCGGUAAAACAUAGGUCACGAGCAUUAUCCGGAUUU